Molecule: ribosomal RNA, 350 nt
Filed under: uncultured bacterium
Lineage: Bacteria
Description: bacterial SSU rRNA
Rfam family: Bacterial small subunit ribosomal RNA
Source: RNAcentral
GGGCCCGCACAAGCGGUGGAGCAUGUGGCUUAAUUCGAGGCAACGCGAAGAACCUUACCUGGUCUUGACAUGCCCGUCAUAGUUUUCCGAAAGGAAUUCGUCAGUUCGGCUGGACGGUGCACAGGUGCUGCAUGGCUGUCGUCAGCUCGUGUCGUGAGAUGUUCGUUAAGUCCGGCAACGAGCGCAACCCUCGUUUCCAGUUGCCAGCGGGUAAUGCCGGGGACUCUGGAAAGACAAACCUCUUGUUGAGGUGGGAAGGUGGGGACGACGUCAAGUCAGUAUGGCCCUUACGACCAGGGCUGCACACGUGCUACAAUGGUAGGUACAGAGAGCAGCCAAUGCGCGAGCAU